UGUCCGUUGUCUAAAUUGGCUAUUUGACACAUUGGCCCAAAACAACAGAACUCCUGGUCAACGGAACUGAACUCUUUCACAACUGUAAUUACUCUGCUGAUGGUCCAUGUAUAGGACACAAUCUGGCAACUAUUGAAACAAACAUAAACCUGCAGAGGUGAAUGGAUAUGGGAGCUAAAGAGCCUUGCUAUGAGGAAAAACUCUACCAUGCACACAGAGAACAGAGCUCAAUGCUGCUAACUGGGCGAGCAACUGGACAACUAGAAGAGAAGAACAGUAGAACACUAUUAAUACAGAUGACUGGAUUACUCUUCUGCAAGAACCAAGACAAGCAAAGACUGAUGAUGAGCGCUCUGAGCAAACACAGCAGUCAAGAUGCAUGAGUGACUUUACUGAGUUCUUCAUAGUGUUGGGCAUUUA
Rhinichthys klamathensis goyatoka is the source of this 420-nucleotide long non-coding RNA. RefSeq lists it as uncharacterized. The transcript is spliced from 3 exons. The record is from RefSeq and is a predicted model, not a curated record. NCBI's taxonomy places the organism in Eukaryota, Metazoa, Chordata, Actinopteri, Cypriniformes, Leuciscidae.